Long non-coding RNA from Papaver somniferum (opium poppy), 790 nucleotides. RefSeq lists it as uncharacterized. The transcript is spliced from 2 exons. The record is from RefSeq and is a predicted model, not a curated record. Lineage: Eukaryota; Viridiplantae; Streptophyta; Magnoliopsida; Ranunculales; Papaveraceae.
UAGAUCUCAAAGUCUCAAAGGAAAGCAAACCCUAAGUCCUUAUCCAGUUGAGUACUUAAACUAAAGUUUGAGUGAGCUCUUUCUUCUUAGUCCCUUUCUGCUGCUAUUGCAAGAACAGCUGAAGAUUGGAAGUGGUGAAGAUCCAGAACCAGAAUAGCAUAAGAACAAGGUUUAGGACUGUAAUGAUGUUGUUAACUAGUGGAGUGAUUAUGAGGAAGAAGAAGAAAAAGAGGAAGAAGAGUGUUUUUGGGUAAUUUGUUGUUUGGUUUGUGCGGUCUCGGAAAUUAAUCACACACCAUUAGCUGAACCUGUUGUUGUUCCAUAUUUCCCAAAGAUAUGUUGUCAGGGAUAAAGAUCAGUCUUAGUCUUGGAAAUACAGAGGAGAUUGUAAAACUCCAACUGCUAUAUAUUUCCCAAAGAUGGAUUAAGGUGCAUCUGGGAUGUGUUCCCUAUUUCCAAAAGAGAUGCGAAGGGGGUAAAGAUUUAUAGGGUAUUCUUUGCCCUGCAAAUCCUUCUUCUAAGAUGUGAUAUCCAAGUGAUGAAAUGGAAGACAUAGAUGUCAUGCAAAAGUUGGACAUCUUUAUGAGCUUAAAGUGAAACACAAUUGGAUCAUGCUAUGGUUGUGAACUGUGAAAUUACAUAAUCAUAUAGUUCAGUAUUUGUAGUAUCACAAAAAAUUCAUCCAUUGAUGUAAUUUUUAUACUUUUUAAAAAUGUAGUCCUUUGUAAUGUCAUAAAACUUAUUCAUUGUCGCCACCUUGAAUAAAAAAUUCACUGCAAUUUGAUAUGAA